This 279-nucleotide ribosomal RNA is filed under the name uncultured bacterium. RNAcentral describes it as "partial 16S ribosomal RNA". It matches the Rfam family "Bacterial small subunit ribosomal RNA", at positions 506 to 784 of the family's 1533-position model. The record is from RNAcentral.
UGCCAGCCGCCGCGGUAAUACGGAGGGUGCGAGCGUUGUCCGGAUUUAUUGGGUUUAAAGGGUGCGUAGGCGGCCUAUUAAGUCAGAUGUGAAAGUCCACGGCUCAACCGUGGAAGUGCAUUUGAAACUGGAUAGCUUGAGUACUGGAGGGGGUGGUGGAAUUCCCGGUGUAGAGGUGAAAUCUGUAGAUAUCAAGAGGAAUACCUAUGGCGAAGGCACCUUACUGGUCAAUUACUGACGCUGAACUGCGAAAGCUCGGGUAGCAAACAGGAUUAGAUA